This 380-nucleotide ribosomal RNA is filed under the name uncultured bacterium. RNAcentral describes it as "bacterial SSU rRNA". It matches the Rfam family "Bacterial small subunit ribosomal RNA", at positions 790 to 1167 of the family's 1533-position model. The record is from RNAcentral.
GUAGUCCACGCCGUAAACGAUGGAUACUAGACGUUUGGGGAAUCAACCCCCCGAGUGUCUAAAGCAUACGCGUUAAGUAUCCCGCCUGGGGAGUACGGUCGCAAGACUAAAACUCAAAGGAAUUGACGGGGGCCCGCACAAGCGGUGGAGUAUGUGGUUUAAUUCGACGCAACGCGCAGAACCUUACCUAGGCUUGACAUCUUGCGACGAACAUUAGAGAUAGUGUUCUUUCCUUCGGGAACGCAAAGACAGGUGCUGCAUGGCUGUCGUCAGCUCGUGUUGUGAAAUGUUGGGUUAAGUCCCGCAACGAGCGCAACCCUUGCCCUUAGUUGACAUCAUUAAGUUGGUCACUUUGAGGGGACUGCCGAUGUUAAAUCGGA